Molecule: long non-coding RNA, 1213 nt
Organism: Cornus florida
Lineage: Eukaryota; Viridiplantae; Streptophyta; Magnoliopsida; Cornales; Cornaceae
Exons: 3
Source: RefSeq, a predicted model, not a curated record
GAAUAAACUACCGACAAAAAAUCAAAACAUUCUACAAACCCAAUAUAGAGAAAUACAGAGAGCACCGCAGGUGAGGACUGAACUGUCUUCAAAAGUCAAUGUCGACUUGAGACCGAUGUCGACAACGAAGGACGGCGGGCUAGGAGGAUGGAGAUGGCCGGCAAGACAGAUCCGGCCGCGGGACAGAUGCGGCUAUUAAAGAUGGCGAGCUAUAAUGAGCUCUGCGAAGAGGGAGAUGGCUGGGUCCAGUAAGCUUGCGAUGGAGAGGACAGCGGAGAGCCAGCGAGAAAGAUCUGGCGGUGGCGAGACUGAGUUCGAGGCUGUGAUUCUGUUGGACUUGCUCGGCUGUGAUGAGCUCUUGCUCGUGCUGGCUGGUUCGGCGAGACAGAUGGAUUGGUGAGAUAGAUGGAUGGUUAGGCAAGAAGGUUGACAGAUGGAUGGCUGAGUCCGGCUGUGAGUAAGAAGGCAUCGGUUGGUUCGGGAUGGUAGCGAAUCAGAGACUAAAGAAGUCAUGAUUUCGGUGAGGCUGUGACAAACGGUGACUUGGACUGAACCGGCGACGAGCGAUGGGCUGAUUUGGCCUUGAUCUGGCGAUGUGGACCGGUGAGUCGGAGUCUUAGAGCUUGACCCGGUAUGGUGCUAUUUCUGAUGUUUGGCGACGAGCAGCAGAGAGCUAGAAGCAUUUGGCAGGACAUGAUCUGGGCGAGGCUUCAAGCGGUGUAGACCAGAUCUAAACAAUCCACAGUACACAAGAACGAUUAGCUUAGCAGUAAAGUGGAAAAUGCAAAAGAUGUUCAAUACCCGGUGUUCUCCAAAUAAAUUCAAGGAAACGGUUUGCAAUUUAAGUGAAGUCAAAAAGGUGUCGUACAAGAGAUUAGGUUUUGGUCCCUUUUAGACAUCGAGUGUACCAUUUUGAAGCGCAACCUGUGCUUAUGGUUGGUAAAACACUUUGAUCCUAGAACAUCCCAUCUUACCCUUGAAUCUGGCGCUCAGAUCCGUGUUACGCCAAGUGAUGUGGGAUAUAGGACAUUUGUAAUGUUGAACAGUGUUAUUUUUUUGGCAUGUAUUUUGCAAUCUGUUGGUGUUAGCUAUUUUUUAAGUUUUAAAGAAAAUUAGCUUUGCAACUUUUGAUUGUGGAUUAGGUUGUAUGUUUUCGCAACUAUUGUAUGGCUUAUUAUACUGGCAUCUACCUUAGAUGGAAUCAAAUGAAGUU